GCUUCAUUAGCUCAGUUGGUAGAGCGCUUCACUCGUAAUGAAGAGGUCAUCGGUUCAAGUCCGAUAUGAAGCU
This 73-nucleotide transfer RNA is filed under the name Lachnospira sp. Its description in RNAcentral is "tRNA-Thr". It matches the Rfam family "tRNA". From Rfam's summary of the family: Transfer RNA (tRNA) molecules are approximately 80 nucleotides in length. Their secondary structure includes four short double-helical elements and three loops (D, anti-codon, and T loops). Further hydrogen bonds mediate the characteristic L-shaped molecular structure. tRNAs have two regions of fundamental functional importance: the anti-codon, which is responsible for specific mRNA codon recognition, and the 3' end, to which the tRNAs corresponding amino acid is attached (by aminoacyl-tRNA synthetases). tRNAs cope with the degeneracy of the genetic code in two manners: having more than one tRNA (with a specific anti-codon) for a particular amino acid; and 'wobble' base-pairing, i.e. permitting non-standard base-pairing at the 3rd anti-codon position. The record is from RNAcentral. Lineage: Bacteria; Bacillati; Bacillota; Clostridia; Lachnospirales; Lachnospiraceae.